Molecule: ribosomal RNA, 324 nt
Filed under: uncultured bacterium
Lineage: Bacteria
Description: bacterial SSU rRNA
Rfam family: Bacterial small subunit ribosomal RNA
Source: RNAcentral
GAUGAACGCUGGCGGCGUGCCUAACACAUGCAAGUCGAGCGAAGCACUUUAAUUUGAUUCUUCGGAUGAGGAUUUUAGUGACUGAGCGGCGGACGGGUGAGUAACGCGUGGGCAACCUGCCUUACACAGGGGGAUAACAGUUAGAAAUGACUGCUAAUACCGCAUAAGACCACAGUACUGCAUGGUGCAGUGGUAAAAACUCCGGUGGUGUAAGAUGGGCCCGCGUCUGAUUAGGUAGUUGGCGGGGUAACGGCCCACCAAGCCGACGAUCAGUAGCCGACCUGAGAGGGUGACCGGCCACAUUGGGACUGAGACACGGCCCAG